This 467-nucleotide ribosomal RNA is filed under the name uncultured bacterium. RNAcentral describes it as "partial 16S ribosomal RNA". It matches the Rfam family "Bacterial small subunit ribosomal RNA", at positions 28 to 506 of the family's 1533-position model. The record is from RNAcentral.
GACGAACGCUGGCGGCGUGCUUAACACAUGCAAGUCGAACGGAAAGGCCCUGCUUUUGUGGGGUGCUCGAGUGGCGAACGGGUGAGUAACACGUGAGUAACCUGCCCUUGACUUUGGGAUAACUUCAGGAAACUGGGGCUAAUACCGGAUAGGAGCUCCUGCUGCAUGGUGGGGGUUGGAAAGUUUCGGCGGUUGGGGAUGGACUCGCGGCUUAUCAGCUUGUUGGUGGGGUAGUGGCUUACCAAGGCUUUGACGGGUAGCCGGCCUGAGAGGGUGACCGGGCACAUUGGGACGGAGAUACGGCCCAGACUCCUACGGGAGGCAGCAGUGGGGAAGAUUGCACAAUGGGCGGAAGCCUGAUGCAGCAACGCCGCGUGCGGGAUGACGGCCUUCGGGUUGUAAACCGCUUUCGCCUGUGACGAAGCGUGAGUGACGGUAAUGGGGAAAGAAGCACCGGCUAACUACGU